This 74-nucleotide transfer RNA is filed under the name Chlamydomonas nivalis. Its description in RNAcentral is "tRNA-Ile". It matches the Rfam family "tRNA". Rfam says of the family: Transfer RNA (tRNA) molecules are approximately 80 nucleotides in length. Their secondary structure includes four short double-helical elements and three loops (D, anti-codon, and T loops). Further hydrogen bonds mediate the characteristic L-shaped molecular structure. tRNAs have two regions of fundamental functional importance: the anti-codon, which is responsible for specific mRNA codon recognition, and the 3' end, to which the tRNAs corresponding amino acid is attached (by aminoacyl-tRNA synthetases). tRNAs cope with the degeneracy of the genetic code in two manners: having more than one tRNA (with a specific anti-codon) for a particular amino acid; and 'wobble' base-pairing, i.e. permitting non-standard base-pairing at the 3rd anti-codon position. Lineage: Eukaryota; Viridiplantae; Chlorophyta; Chlorophyceae; Chlamydomonadales; Chlamydomonadaceae. The record is from RNAcentral.
GGGCCAUUAGCUCAGCUGGUUAGAGCGCACGCUUGAUAAGCGUGAGGCGACUGGUUCAAAUCCAGUAUGGCCCA